UUAGAAGGCCGAAAAUUUAAAAGGAAAUAAAAACUCAAAGAUUGGCCCAAUUCGGCUUUGAAAAGCCCAAAGCCCAAUUCUCUCUUUCUCUCUCCUUCCCUCCGUCAUUUUCUCUUUCUUCUCUCCAGCUAGGGCUUUUUCUCUCUGUAGAAGUUACAGUGAACCUCUAGAAGAAGCAGCUUCAUUUUCAAUGGCGAUGCCACUGGGGAGGGACGAUUACGCUGAAGACGAGCUGGAUCAGGACGAAGAUUACGAGUGCGACGCCGUUGAUGAAGAGACGGUGGUGGAUAGCGACGGAUAAGAGGAGGAGGACGACGACGGAGAUGACGGCAAUAGUCGUUGAACAGCAAGCUCUCUCUGCCGUCGAUUAGGGUCUAAAAUUAUGGAUGGUGAAAUGUGCGGUAUGAUAGACGAAAUUCUUUAAAUGGAGUUAGCAGUUUGCCCUAUGCAUAAUUAUAUCGGUAAAGGGAUCUGAGUUACCAACUAGAUCCGUCGUAGCAUUUGAUCAUCUCAAAAGCUAUAUACAUAGAGGCAGAAAAAUCUAUUUCAAAUUUUAUUUUUCUGUUUUUUUUUUUUUUUCACGUGUGAAUUCUUGUAAUAAAAUUGAUUAUAUGUGUAGGGAGGAACAGCUUUGAGUGUAGAUUAAACGUGUCGUGGGUGAUGCUUUUCAGGUUAGCCCUAAUAGAUAGGAACGGACCAAGAUUAUUGUUUUGAUGUUAGGAGAUAUUAAACACAAGAUAGUUAGUUAAGAAGUUGUUUUACGAAAGACCGACGUAAGAACAUUUAUCCAUUUUAGAUGUUGUAAAGAUUCUAGAGGCGCGUCUCUGUAGGCUGCGCUUCUCGAACUGUACUUUUAGUUUAUGAAUAUAAUUGAUCUUUUGGUUCGGUCCAA
Molecule: non-coding RNA, 892 nt
Organism: Erythranthe guttata (spotted monkey flower)
Lineage: Eukaryota; Viridiplantae; Streptophyta; Magnoliopsida; Lamiales; Phrymaceae
Source: RefSeq, a predicted model, not a curated record